CAGGAUGCUUAUCAUUAUAGGCAGAUUAAGAAUAGGCCUGAUUAAGCCCAAAGUGGUAAAGUCGGCCCGUUUAUAUUUUUUUCAAGAUCGGCCCAUUUAUAUCUGGGAUCGCUCGUUUCCCCUUCCCUUGCCGAUAUGUACCGAAGAGACAAACCCUAGCUUCCUCAAACCUUAGAACCCUAGCCGCCAGGGACCUGCUUAGCUCCUGGCUCUUUUUUGUUUCUGGCUCCUUUCGUUGUUAUUUUUGUUGAUUCGUUGUGUUUGAGUUCUUGGCCGCUUUGAGAGGGGUUAAUCCUUGUUGCUUUAGUUUUACUCGCUAGGAGUACAUACUUUUCUUCGUAUUGUUUUCUGGAUCUGAUUGUUUUUGUUAUGGUUAACUCGCACCAUUAGCCCCCUGCGCUGUUGAGCUUUGGAGCAGGGAAAACUGCGGGAAAAGGGUAUCUAUGGGUGCAAAAUCAAUCCAUUGGUUGGACAGGAGCUCUAUACGUCUGGGGAAGCCAGCGAAUCUCCGCAGUAUCACUUCUUCUGUCCACAUCGCAUCACCUUACUGUGUGUUAUUAUAGUUUGUUUUCAUGUCUUUCCUGUCUUCGCAUCAUUUAUUUGAGCAGAUCAUGCUCUUGUAUUUGUUCAGAAGCGAAGUGAGGAGGCGAAAUCAUCUGAAUAUUUUCUACCGUAGAUAAUACCAACAUGGUUUAGGGUUAUCUGAUCGCUUGGUGUUCAAAUCUUUUAGUGUAACUUAUUGUGUUUGCUCACCUGAGUUCUGUUAAAUAUAAUAGCACAGCAAAAUGAGGAAGUCUUACCAUCUGAAAGUCUACUACUGUUUAUAAUGCAUAUAUGGUCUUCAAAGUUCUCUGAUUGCUUGUUCCACGGCUGCAGCUACACCCACUUAUCCAAGUGGCGCCUACCUAGAUUUAUAUAGCCAUUAUUUUUCCUCGUUUUUAUUUUUGGUAAUUACCUUGCAAAUUGCUUCUUGAUGAUGCUCGAGUAAAAAAGAAAUGCAUUUCUAAAGAUGUUUUUGAAGCAAAAUGAGUAGGUCAUAUGAUCUGAUGUAUCCGAUAUUGAUACUUUGUACCUACACCUUACCGAUGCCCAUCUUGGUAUUCUUUCCUUCUUGCUCGAGUCAAAGUUGUAAUGCUUAAUAUAUUUCAAAAGCAAAAUGAGGAGAUUAUAUGAUCUGAAUUAUCAGAUGUUGAUACAUCCGUACAUAGCCUUCAAAGUUCUCUGAUUGCUCAGUGUUGUUAUGCCUACACCCUCUUGUUGAUGUCCAUCUUGUUUUCCUUUCUUCUUGCUCGGACUCAAAAUAAUAGUGUUUUAUGUAGUUGAGAAGCAAAAUGAGGAGAUUAUAUGAUCUGAAGUAUCGGAUGUUGAUACAUGCAUACAUAGCCUUCAAAGUUCUCUGAUUGCUCAUUCUAGUUAUGCCUACACCUGAUGUCCACCUUGGUAUUCUUUUCUUCUUGCUUGGAGUCAAAAUAAUAUUGUUUUAUGUAGUUAAAAAGCAAAAUGAGGAGAUUAUAUAAUCUGAAGUAUCAGAUGUUGAUACAUCCAUACAUAGCCUUCAAAGUUCUCUGAUUGCUUUACUGUACGCAUCUAUGUUGGUAUUUGUUGCUGUGGCUAUAUACUUGUUACAAAAUUGUAAUUGUUUUAGGCACUUGAGAAGCAAAAUGAGGAGGAUAUAUGAUCUGAAGUAUCUCCUGUUGAUACAACCAUACAUGGUCUUCAAAGUUCUCUGAUUGUUUCUCAUGAACCCUUGAGUAACACAUUUUUCAAGUUUUUGUAGAAAAUUUGUUACUGGAAUAUUUCAUGUGUGAUCAACCUACAUCACCAUUGCACUGGGUUUCAAAUGUCUCAACUCCUGAGUGAACUGCUUUGGGUCAUUGCGGAUGAAUGCCCGAAGAGAUCUACUAGUUGUCGGUUAGCGAGGGCUGGUUAGGAUGAUCUUAUGAGCUGGUCAAGACUUGAGACACUGAGGAAGAAGCUCAGCGAUGUAACCUGUUAGUACUUUGAUCUGGUGUUCUCACUGUAGUUUGACUUGUACCAAUUGUGUAAUGUAUGGCCGUAUGGGAACAUACCAGUAUCUGUUGGAGAUAUUGAUUUUGCUCUUUUGUGUUGUGAGUAAACUGUUGUAGUACUUUGAUCUGGUGAUCUCACUGUAGUUUUACUAUUAAA
Lolium perenne is the source of this 2166-nucleotide long non-coding RNA. RefSeq lists it as uncharacterized. NCBI's taxonomy places the organism in Eukaryota, Viridiplantae, Streptophyta, Magnoliopsida, Poales, Poaceae. The record is from RefSeq and is a predicted model, not a curated record.